Molecule: ribosomal RNA, 201 nt
Filed under: uncultured bacterium
Lineage: Bacteria
Description: partial 16S ribosomal RNA
Rfam family: Bacterial small subunit ribosomal RNA
Source: RNAcentral
UAGGCUGAAACUCGCCUACAUGAAGCUGGAGUUACUAGUAAUCGCAGAUCAGAAUGCUGCGGUGAAUGCGUUCCCGGGUCUUGUACACACCGCCCGUCACACCACGGAAGUUGGGGCGCCCGAAGCCACUUAGCUAACCCAUUUGGGAAGCGAGUGUCGAAGGUGAAAUCAAUAACUGGGGUGAAGUCGUAACAAGGUAGC